CACACCUACUCCAACAAGACCACACCUCCUAUUAGUGCCACUCCCUGGGCCAAGCAUAUUCAAACCGCCACAGAUUCUUUGGGUAACCCAGGAGUGGUGGAGCUGGAUCAUAGUAUAAUUUCAUUUCUAGCCUCCAUGAUGAUUUACAUAUUGUCCAGUAAAUAAAGUUUCCCUUCCUACACACACACACACACACACACACACCGUGCAUAUGUAUGCACAUCCUUGUCAGUGUUUGCCCAUUGCUGACCUUUCCUCUAGAUCUUCUCUAUAAAGUCCUUCCUUCAUCUGAGUCUUCAAGUACUUUCCCCACUUAGUCCUUUAGCGGUUUCAGGGAUUCAGGUCUUAGACUUCGAUCCAUUUGGAAUUGGACUCCAGUAGAUCUGGAAGGAAAGGCAGCAAAGAGCAAAUGGGAUCUCAUGAGAUUAAAACACUGCACAGCAGAGAAAGCAUCAGCCGAGGUGAGAGAUUGGGACCUAGUCACAUUUCUCUGAGGACAGUCAUCUGCUGUUGAAGAUGCCAUCCACUGAGUGUAGUAGCCAUCCGCUGUUGAAAAUGCUGUAUUUUCUCCCACGGGUACUUUUGUCAUCUUUGUUAAAAAAAAUCAAGUAUCUGUAGUUCUCCGAGCUUAUUUCUGGGUCCUCUAUCCCAUUUAUCUAUAUGUUCACUUUUGUGCCAAAACCACGCUAUUUUGUUACCACGGCUCUAUCAUAUAACUUGAAACCAAGAAUUGUAACUUCAGCAUUGUUCAGGAUUGCUUUGGUUAUGGGGUAUCUUUCACACUUCCCUGAGAAUUUUAGAAAUUUUAGGGACUUUAGGCAUAUGAUAAUAAUCCUCAGGAGGCUGAGGAAAGAGGAUUACUUGGAGUUUGGGGCUAGCCUGGCAUACAUAGUGAGUUUCAGGACAAUCUGAACUAUGAUGUGAAAUUCUGUCUCAAAAACUAAGAAACAAACUAUAACAAACAAAUCCUACUUAUAAUAGUUUUAAAAUAUGUAGGAACAGGGUAGUAGUGAAGCACACCUUUAAACCCAGCACUCUGGAGACAGAAGCAGUCACAUCUCUCAGUUUGAGGCCAGCCUAGUCUAUAGAGCAAGUUCCAGGAUUAUUAUCAAACACCAAAAUUCCAGCUAUGGUGUUUCUCCCUUGUUUUCUUUCUCAGAAAGUUUGUGAAUAUUUAGAAAAGCCACUAAUUUUUGUUUGUUGAUUUUAAAACCUGUUGCUUCUAUCUUCAUCCAAUUUGAGAGUUUUUUUUGGUGGAGUCUUUGGGGUCUUUUUAGUACAGGAUCCUGUGGUCUGAAAACACAGAUAAUCUGACAUCCUUCCCUAUGUAUGCCCACCUUCCUUCUUUCUCUCACUUUGCGUGCCAGCCAGGAUUUUGACACUAGAUUGAAUACAGGUGAAAAGGAGAAGCACCGUGGUCUCCUUACAGAUCUUAGAGGAAAUGUUCUCAGAUGUGUCCUUCCAGUAUAAUGUUAGAUAAACGCUUGUUGUAUAUAGCUUUAAUUAUGCUUUAUCAUGAAAGGACAUUCUAAAAUCCACACUAGACUUCUUAAAUGUCAUUUCUCUGCUUAAAACUAUACAAUGGGUUCCACUGCCUUUAGAAUGUAACCCACUCCUGUGUAACCCACUACCCCUAUGUGAUGUCAUGUGUCCCCUCCUCUGACUUCCAGUCUUUGUCCAUCUAUGCACAUACCAAACUCUGUCUCCUCAGCAUCUUUGCAUGCAAUGCCUGUGGCCAGGAUAACCACCCAUGCGCUUCUCCUCUUUAUUCAAGUACCUGCUUAAUGUCACCUUCCCACCUAAAUCAGCACCAACACUCCAUUGCCUAAACUUCAUUCUUCUUCUCUGCACCAAUUCAUAUGAGACUUUCUAUCAGUACCUGUUUGCACAUUAAUUUUCUGUCCUUUGCACUAUGGUAGAAAGGCCCAUGAAGAUAGAGACGCUACCAUUUCUCAGAUCCAUUUUGAGGGCACAGAGCUAAGUAACACCGAAAAUAGGGGCUGAUUUUGUUGACUUUAAAAAGUAAGGUAAACAGAGAAGCUGGGUACUGGGUCAAGGGGUAGGGAAGAAAAGAAAGGCUUCUAAAAAGUAAAGCUGGUGAGGUACCAUGGGCUGGACUCAAUGGGUCCCUCUACCCACGGGGAAUCAGAGUCCCAGUAUUCAGGUAGGCAAGGAGUUGGCAGGGUGACAAACAGAAGCAAACACAAGGGAGUGUUGAUCUGAAUGUAAUUUCUCAAAGCAAGCGUCAGACAUAUUACAGAAGGAGCCAAGGAAGUUAAGUGAUACAUUAAGGUCAUCCAAGGUACAUUGAGGUUACCUGAUGCAAAAUGACUUUUACACAAAACAAAGGAAUGCAUACAUAAAAGCUAACAGGAAGCUGGGAUAAAAAUCAAUGUUAACAACUGAGAUCAAAAGCAGCCACACCUAAAGUCCGCUUAUUCUUAGAAGCCAGGGACAAGGGCUUCAUGCCCUUGCCAUAGUUCCAAUUCUAGUCUAUUGUAUAACCCACAUUUCCCUUAGGCCAUUGUAAAUUCCUGUGUAUGGGAGUGGCUCAGCUAUUGUUGUAAGUAUUUACUCUAGUUCCUUCUUAGACCACAACCUCCCUUCUUCCUAGGCCAUUGUAAAUUCCUGUGUAUGGGAGUGACUCUGCUGUUGUUCUAAGUAUACUUUGUAGACUAGCCCUAAGAUUUCUAGCUCUAUUCUAGUAAAUCAUAAUGCCUGAUUUCUUUCACUGUCUCUCUGUCAACACUGGAGGCUUUUCAUCUAAAGGAGUAGCAUUCUUACAAGAAUCAAAGUCCAAGGUUGGCUCAACGAUUUCCUAGGAUAUUGGAACAUUGAUGGAGGCUAAUCUAACUUAGCUAUAUGUCAAAAAUCAUUCCUUAGAGUCACUUAUUUUUUUAAGAUUUAUUUAUUUAUUUAUUUAUUUAUUUAUUUAUUUAUUUAUUUAUUACAUGUAAGUACACUGUAGCUGUCUUCAGACACUCCAGAAGAGGGAGUCAGAUCUCAUUACGGGUGGUUGUGAGCCACCAUGUGGUUGCUGGGAUUUGAACUUUGGACCUUCAGAAAAGCAGUCGGGUGCUCUUACCCACUGAGCCAUCUCACCAGCCCCUUAGAGUCACUUAUAAUAAAACAAUAUUGAAGGAAAGUACAGAGAUCUGUUCACUGACUAACGCAAGAACAGGUUUGGAGCAUUCGUGCUACAGGAUGCCAAGGCUCCAAGAGACUAGGUAUCCGUGAAACUUUUUGCCUCAGAACACUGUCCAAGCUUUUGGGCCUGUCACUCAGUUACCACUGGAAUGGGUGUGGCAGUGAGACUGAAGAGAAGGUUCUGCAAU
Molecule: long non-coding RNA, 3335 nt
Filed under: Mus musculus (house mouse)
Lineage: Eukaryota; Metazoa; Chordata; Mammalia; Rodentia; Muridae
Description: long non-coding RNA chr5:20687528-20690863
Source: RNAcentral